UGGGGAAUAUUGCGCAAUGGGGGAAACCCUGACGCAGCGACGCCGCGUGGAGGAUGAAGGUCUUAGGAUUGUAAACUUCUGUUAAGUGGGAAGAAAUGUUGUGACCUAAUACGUCAUAAAGCUGACGGUACCACUAGAGAAAGCACCGGCUAACUUCGUGCCAGCAGCCGCGGUAAUACGAAGGGUGCUAACGUUAUUCGGAGUUAUUGGGCGUAAAGAGCGUGUAGGCGGUCUGUUAAGUUGACUGUUAAAUCUCCCGGCCUAACCGGGAACCAGCAGUCAAAACUGGCAAGACUAGAGGGCAGGAGAGAGAAGUGGAAUUCUCGGAGUAGCGGUAAAAUGCGUAGAUCUCGAGAGGAACACCGAUUGCGAAGGCAGCUUCUUGGCCUGUGCCUGACGCUGAGACGCGAAAGCGUGGGGAGCAAACAGG
Molecule: ribosomal RNA, 430 nt
Filed under: uncultured bacterium
Lineage: Bacteria
Description: bacterial SSU rRNA
Rfam family: Bacterial small subunit ribosomal RNA
Source: RNAcentral